AUGAUUAGUGGCGAACGGGUGAGUAACACGUGAGUAACCUGCCCCUGACUCUGGGAUAAGCCCGGGAAACCGGGUCUAAUACUGGAUAUGCACCGUGGACCGCAUGGUUCUUGGUGGAAAGAUUUAUUGGUCAGGGAUGGACUCGCGGCCUAUCAGCUUGUUGGUGAGGUAAUGGCUCACCAAGGCGACGACGGGUAGCCGGCCUGAGAGGGUGACCGGCCACACUGGGACUGAGACACGGCCCAGACUCCUACGGGAGGCAGCAGUGGGGAAUAUUGCACAAUGGGCGAAAGCCUGAUGCAGCGACGCCGCGUGAGGGAUGACGGCCUUCGGGUUGUAAACCUCUUUCAGUAGGGAAGAAGCGAAAGUGACGGUACCUGCAGAAGAAGCGCCGGCUAACUACGUGCCAGCAGCCGCGGUAAUACGUAGGGCGCAAGCGUUAUCCGGAAUUAUUGGGCGUAAAGAGCUCGUAGGCGGUUUGUCGCGUCUGCCGUGAAAGUCCGAGGCUCAACCUCGGAUCUGCGGUGGGUACGGGCAGACUAGAGUGAUGUAGGGGAGACUGGAAUUCCUGGUGUAGCGGUGAAAUGCGCAGAUAUCAGGAGGAACACCGAUGGCGAAGGCAGGUCUCUGGGCAUUAACUGACGCUGAGGAGCGAAAGCAUGGGGAGCGAACAGGAUUAGAUACCCUGGUAGUCCAUGCCGUAAACGUUGGGCACUAGGUGUGGGGGACAUUCCACGUUUUCCGCGCCGUAGCUAACGCAUUAAGUGCCCCGCCUGGGGAGUACGGCCGCAAGGCUAAAAC
This 801-nucleotide ribosomal RNA is filed under the name Paeniglutamicibacter antarcticus. Its description in RNAcentral is "bacterial SSU rRNA". It matches the Rfam family "Bacterial small subunit ribosomal RNA", at positions 88 to 900 of the family's 1533-position model. The record is from RNAcentral. Lineage: Bacteria; Bacillati; Actinomycetota; Actinomycetes; Micrococcales; Micrococcaceae.